GAUGAACGCUGGCGGCGUGCCUAAUACAUGCAAGUCGAGCGAACGCACGAGAAGCUCGCUUCUCUGCUGUUCGCGGGGCGCGGGUGAGUAACACGUGGAUCACCCUUCUAUAACACUGGGAUAAACUCGGAAACCCGGAGCUAAUACCGGAUAAUUGUUUGAACCGCAUGGUUCAAUAAAGAAAGGCCGUCUUGCUGUCACUUAUAGAUGGAUCCGCGCUGCAUUAGCUAGUUGGUAAGGUAACGGCUUACCAAGGCAACGAUGCAUAGCCGACCUGGGAGGGUGAUCGGACCCAAUGGAAGUAGACCAGGGGCCAAACUCGUACGGGAGCCGGCAGUAGGGAAUCUCCCGCAAUGGGGAAAAGCCGGACGAAGCAACGCCGCGUGGGUGAGGAAGGUCUUAGGUUGGUAAAACCCUGUGAUUAGGAAGGAAAAGAAGCGUGCGAAGAUGUCAAGACCUUGACGGUACCUAACCAGAAAGCCACGGCUAAAUACGUG
RNAcentral lists this ribosomal RNA (497 nucleotides) under uncultured bacterium. RNAcentral describes it as "partial 16S ribosomal RNA". It matches the Rfam family "Bacterial small subunit ribosomal RNA", at positions 28 to 507 of the family's 1533-position model. The record is from RNAcentral.